This 443-nucleotide ribosomal RNA is filed under the name uncultured prokaryote. RNAcentral's name for it is "bacterial SSU rRNA". It matches the Rfam family "Bacterial small subunit ribosomal RNA", at positions 355 to 796 of the family's 1533-position model. The record is from RNAcentral.
UAGGGAAUAUUGGUCAAUGGGCGGAAGCCUGAACCAGCCAUGCCGCGUGCAGGAAGACGGCCUUCUGGGUUGUAAACUGCUUUUACCAGGGAACAAAUAGGCCAUGCGUGGCAAGUUGAGUGUACCUGGAGAAUAAGCACCGGCUAACUCCGUGCCAGCAGCCGCGGUAAUACGGAGGGGGUUAGCGUUGUUCGGAAUUACUGGGCGUAAAGCGCACGUAGGCGGACUAUUAAGUCAGGGGUGAAAUCCCGGGGCUCAACCCCGGAACUGCCUUUGAUACUGGUAGUCUUGAGUUCGAGAGAGGUGAGUGGAAUUCCGAGUGUAGAGGUGAAAUUCGUAGAUAUUCGGAGGAACACCAGUGGCGAAGGCGGCUCACUGGCUCGAUACUGACGCUGAGGUGCGAAAGCGUGGGGAGCAAACAGGAUUAGAUACCCGUGUAGUCC